AUGGAGGCGAUGCAGUGGAUGGAGACGGCCGCGGAAGACGGCCAGGGCGCGGCGGACAUGUCAGGCCUUGGCGUGGCUGUGGAUCCAGCGCUGGUGACUGAUGGCGACGGCGAGGCUACGGCGGGCUUGGGCCAGGGCGCGGCUGCGGCUGUGGAGGGGGCGGGUGAGUGCGCGGCUGACGGUGGCAAUGGCGCAGCUUCUGCAGGUGGCGGUGGGUCGGUUGCAGCGGGAUCAGGCCAGGGCGCAGCAGUGACUGGGGGCUCGGCCGCCGGGGUGGCUGGAGACUCCGGCCAGGGCACUGCUGGGUCGGCCUCGGCAGCACGGCUCGGUUGGCACUCCAACAGUGAUGAAUCCUGGAAAGUGUGCCUAUGCUUGGUUGUAAUCUCUCAGGUGGCCAUAUCAUUUUUAGUCCUGCUUGCUGUUCUGUGCAGCUGGAGAACUCCAAGUUCCCAAAUGCCAAAAUAUUCUAACGCUGGAAUUAGAAAUACGGACAACACAUGUUCUUGGUGCUGCUCAUGUCAUGUUGGGUGGACUUGCACUCAUGUAUGUGAUUCUAAAGUCACUUUUGUGCUACUCAUGGCAUGUAUGUAUGGACUUGGAUUAUGUAUGUGA
RNAcentral lists this ribosomal RNA (612 nucleotides) under Triticum aestivum (bread wheat). RNAcentral describes it as "partial small subunit ribosomal RNA". The record is from RNAcentral. Lineage: Eukaryota; Viridiplantae; Streptophyta; Magnoliopsida; Poales; Poaceae.